RNAcentral lists this ribosomal RNA (253 nucleotides) under uncultured bacterium. Its description in RNAcentral is "partial 16S ribosomal RNA". It matches the Rfam family "Bacterial small subunit ribosomal RNA", at positions 524 to 776 of the family's 1533-position model. The record is from RNAcentral.
AACGUAGGAGACGAGCGUUAUCCGGAAUUACUUGGCGUAAAGCGCGUGUAGGCGGAAGUGUAAGUCUUUUGUGAAAGCUCCUGGCUAAACUGGGAGAGGUCGAAAGAUACUGCACAUCUGGAGUAUGGGAGAGGGGUGUGGAAUUCCGGGUGUAGUGGUGAAAUGCGUAGAUAUCCGGAGGAACACCAGUGGCGAAGGCGGCACCCUGGCCCAAGACUGACGCUAAGACGCGAAAGCAUGGGGAGCGAACGGG